GGGUUGUGAGGUUAAGCGACUAAGCGUACACGGUGGAUGCCCUGGCAGUCAGAGGCGAUGAAGGACGUGCUAAUCUGCGAAAAGCGUCGGUAAGGUGAUAUGAACCGUUAUAACCGGCGAUGUCCGAAUGGGGAAACCCAGUGCAAUUCGUUGCACUAUCGUUAACUGAAUACAUAGGUUAACGAGGCGAACCGGGGGAACUGAAACAUCUAAGUACCCCGAGGAAAAGAAAUCAACCGAGAUUCCCCCAGUAGCGGCGAGCGAACGGGGAGCAGCCCAGAGUCUGAAUCAGCUUGUGUGUUAGUGGAACGGUCUGGAAAGUCCGACGGUACAGGGUGAUAGUCCCGUACACCAAAAUGCACAGGCUGUGAACUCGAAGAGUAGGGCGGGACACGUGGUAUCCUGUCUGAAUAUGGGGGGACCAUCCUCCAAGGCUAAAUACUCCUGACUGACCGAUAGUGAACCAGUACCGUGAGGGAAAGGCGAAAAGAACCCCGGCGAGGGGAGUGAAAAAGAACCUGAAACCGUGUACGUACAAGCAGUGGGAGCACCUUCGGGUGUGACUGCGUACCUUUUGUAUAAUGGGUCAGCGACUUAUAUUCUGUAGCAAGGUUAACCGUAUAGGGGAGCCGCAGGGAAACCGAGUCUUAACUGGGCGUUAAGUUGCAGGGUAUAGACCCGAAACCCGGUGAUCUAGCCAUGGGCAGGUUGAAGGUUGGGUAACACUAACUGGAGGACCGAACCGACUAAUGUUGAAAAAUUAGCGGAUGACUUGUGGCUGGGGGUGAAAGGCCAAUCAAACCGGGAGAUAGCUGGUUCUCCCCGAAAGCUAUUUAGGUAGCGCCUCGUGAAUUCAUCUUCGGGGUAGAGCACUGUUUCGGCUAGGGGGUCAUCCCGACUUACCAACCCGAUGCAAACUACGAAUACCGAAGAAUGUUAUCACGGGAGACACACGGCGGGUGCUAACGUCCGUCGUGAAGAGGGAAACAACCCAGACCGCCAGCUAAGGUCCCAAAGUCAUGGUUAAGUGGGAAACGAUGUGGGAAGGCACAGACAGCCAGGAUGUUGGCUUAGAAGCAGCCAUCAUUUAAAGAAAGCGUAAUAGCUCACUGGUCGAGUCGGCCUGCGCGGAAGAUGUAACGGGGCUAAACCAUGCACCGAAGCUGCGGCAGCGACACUAUGUGUUGUUGGGUAGGGGAGCGUUCUGUAAGCCUGCGAAGGUGACCUGUGAGGGUUGCUGGAGGUAUCAGAAGUGCGAAUGCUGACAUAAGUAACGAUAAAGCGGGUGAAAAGCCCGCUCGCCGGAAGACCAAGGGUUCCUGUCCAACGUUAAUCGGGGCAGGGUGAGUCGACCCCUAAGGCGAGGCCGAAAGGCGUAGUCGAUGGGAAACAGGUUAAUAUUCCUGUACUUGGUGUUACUGCGAAGGGGGGACGGAGAAGGCUAUGUUAGCCGGGCGACGGUUGUCCCGGUUUAAGCAUGUAGGCUGAUUGUCCAGGCAAAUCCGGAUAAUCAAGGCUGAGGUGUGAUGACGAGGCACUACGGUGCUGAAGUAACAAAUGCCCUGCUUCCAGGAAAAGCCUCUAAGCAUCAGGUAACAUCAAAUCGUACCCCAAACCGACACAGGUGGUCAGGUAGAGAAUACCAAGGCGCUUGAGAGAACUCGGGUGAAGGAACUAGGCAAAAUGGUGCCGUAACUUCGGGAGAAGGCACGCUGGUGUGUAGGUGAAGCCCCUGCGGGUGGAGCUGAGACCAGUCGAAGAUACCAGCUGGCUGCAACUGUUUAUUAAAAACACAGCACUGUGCAAACACGAAAGUGGACGUAUACGGUGUGACGCCUGCCCGGUGCCGGAAGGUUAAUUGAUGGGGUUAUCCGUAAGGAGAAGCUCUUGAUCGAAGCCCCGGUAAACGGCGGCCGUAACUAUAACGGUCCUAAGGUAGCGAAAUUCCUUGUCGGGUAAGUUCCGACCUGCACGAAUGGCGUAAUGAUGGCCAGGCUGUCUCCACCCGAGACUCAGUGAAAUUGAACUCGCUGUGAAGAUGCAGUGUACCCGCGGCAAGACGGAAAGACCCCGUGAACCUUUACUAUAGCUUGACACUGAACAUUGAGCCUUGAUGUGUAGGAUAGGUGGGAGGCUUUGAAGCGUGGACGCCAGUCUGCGUGGAGCCAACCUUGAAAUACCACCCUUUAAUGUUUGAUGUUCUAACGUUGGCCCCUGACCGGGGUUGCGGACAGUGUCUGGUGGGUAGUUUGACUGGGGCGGUCUCCUCCCAAAGCGUAACGGAGGAGCACGAAGGUUAGCUAAUCCUGGUCGGACAUCAGGAGGUUAGUGCAAUGGCAUAAGCUAGCUUGACUGCGAGCGUGACGGCGCGAGCAGGUGCGAAAGCAGGUCAUAGUGAUCCGGUGGUUCUGAAUGGAAGGGCCAUCGCUCAACGGAUAAAAGGUACUCCGGGGAUAACAGGCUGAUACCGCCCAAGAGUUCAUAUCGACGGCGGUGUUUGGCACCUCGAUGUCGGCUCAUCACAUCCUGGGGCUGAAGUAGGUCCCAAGGGUAUGGCUGUUCGCCAUUUAAAGUGGUACGCGAGCUGGGUUUAGAACGUCGUGAGACAGUUCGGUCCCUAUCUGCCGUGGGCGCUGGAGAAUUGAGGGGGCUGCUCCUAGUACGAGAGGACCGGAGUGGACGCAUCACUGGUGUUCGGGUUGUCAUGCCAAUGGCACUGCCCGGUAGCUAAAUGCGGAAGAGAUAAGUGCUGAAAGCAUCUAAGCACGAAACUUGCCCCGAGAUGAGUUCUCCCUGAGACUUUAAGUCUCCUGAAGGAACGUUAAAGACGAUGACGUUGAUAGGCCGGGUGUGUAAGCGCAGCGAUGCGUUGAGCUAACCGGUACUAAUGAACCGUGAGGCUUAACCUUACAACGCCGAAG
RNAcentral lists this ribosomal RNA (2921 nucleotides) under Klebsiella pneumoniae. Its description in RNAcentral is "23S ribosomal RNA". It matches the Rfam family "Bacterial large subunit ribosomal RNA". Lineage: Bacteria; Pseudomonadati; Pseudomonadota; Gammaproteobacteria; Enterobacterales; Enterobacteriaceae. The record is from RNAcentral.